Molecule: small nucleolar RNA, 133 nt
Organism: Cebus imitator (Panamanian white-faced capuchin)
Lineage: Eukaryota; Metazoa; Chordata; Mammalia; Primates; Cebidae
Source: Ensembl
AUCCCAUUCUCAAGGAGAAUAGGGACUGUUGAUCAUGCCAUCCAGAGAUGGUUAAUGGAGCUACACUGAGAUAUGGCUACGCUUGCAUCACAGCUAAUGCAUCACAAUGGUGACAAUGAGACCUGCAACAUUU